Molecule: ribosomal RNA, 330 nt
Filed under: uncultured bacterium
Lineage: Bacteria
Description: bacterial SSU rRNA
Rfam family: Bacterial small subunit ribosomal RNA
Source: RNAcentral
UGCGCAGGCGGUUAUAUAAGACAGAUGUGAAAUCCCCGGGCUCAACCUGGGAACUGCAUUAGUGACUGUAUAGCUAGAGUGCGGCAGAGGGGGAUGGAAUUCCGCGUGUAGCAGUGAAAUGCGUAGAUAUGCGGAGGAACACCGAUGGCGAAGGCAAUCCCCUGGGCCUGCACUGACGCUCAUGCACGAAAGCGUGGGGAGCAAACAGGAUUAGAUACCCUGGUAGUCCACGCCCUAAACGAUGUCAACUGGUUGUUGGGAAUUCACUUUCUCAGUAACGAAGCUAACGCGUGAAGUUGACCGCCUGGGGAGUACGGCCGCAAGGUUAAA